CCUACGGGGGGCUGCAGUGGGGAAUAUUGGACAAUGGGGGGAACCCUGAUCCAGCCAUGCCGCGUGGGUGAAGAAGGCCCCCGGGUGGAAAAGCACUUUCAGGGAGGAAGAACGCCUGGUGGUUAAUACCCAUCAGGAAAGACAUCACUCACAGAAGAAGCACCGGCUAACUCCGUGCCAGCAGCCGCGGUAAUACGGAGGGUGCGAGCGUUAAUCGGAAUUACUGGGCGUAAAGCGCGCGUAGGUGGCUUGAUAAGCCGGUUGUGAAAGCCCCGGGCUCAACCUGGGAACGGCAUCCGGAACUGUCAAGCUAGAGUGCAGGAGAGGAAGGUAGAAUUCCCGGUGUAGCGGUGAAAUGCGUAGAGCUCGGGAGGAAUACCAGUGGCGAAGGCGGCCUUCUGGACUGACACUGACACUGAGGUGCGAAAGCGUGGGUAGCAAACAGGAUUAGAUACCCCAGUAGUC
Molecule: ribosomal RNA, 465 nt
Filed under: Vreelandella stevensii
Lineage: Bacteria; Pseudomonadati; Pseudomonadota; Gammaproteobacteria; Oceanospirillales; Halomonadaceae
Description: partial 16S ribosomal RNA
Rfam family: Bacterial small subunit ribosomal RNA
Source: RNAcentral